GAACGAACGCUGGCGGCAUGCCUAACCCAUGCAAGUCGAACGAGACCUUCGGGUCUAGUGGCGCACGGGUGCGUAACGCGUGGGAACCUGCCCUUAGGUUCGGAAUAACUCCCCGAAAGGGGUGCUAAUACCGGAUAAUGUCUUCGGACCAAAGAUUUAUCGCCUUUGGAUGGGCCCGCGUUGGAUUAGCUAGUUGGUAGGGUAAAAGCCUACCAAGGCGACGAUCCAUAGCUGGUCUGAGAGGAUGAUCAGCCACACUGGGACUGAGACACGGCCCAGACUCCUACGGGAGGCAGCAGUGGGGAAUAUUGGACAAUGGGCGAAAGCCUGAUCCAGCAAUGCCGCGUGAGUGAUGAAGGCCUUAGGGUUGUAAAGCUCUUUUACCCGGGAUGAUAAUGACAGUACCGGGAGAAUAAGCUCCGGCUAACUCCGUG
Molecule: ribosomal RNA, 434 nt
Filed under: uncultured bacterium
Lineage: Bacteria
Description: partial 16S ribosomal RNA
Rfam family: Bacterial small subunit ribosomal RNA
Source: RNAcentral